GACGAACGCUGGCGGCGUGCCUAAUACAUGCAAGUCGAACGCAGUGGGGACGGGUGAGUAAAACGUGGGUAAACUCACAUCAAAGGGGAUAACAACUGGAAACAGGUGCUAAACCGGAACUGAUGGAGGGACCCGCGGUGCAUUAGCCGGUUGGUGGGGUAACGGAUCACCAAGGCUACGAUGCAUAGCCGACCUGAGAGGGUGAUCGGCCACACUGGGACUGAGACACGGCCCAGACUCCUACGGGAGGCAGCAGUAGGGAAUCUUCGGCAAUGGACGCAAGUCUGACCGAGCAACGCCGCGUGAGUGAAGAAGGUUUUCGGAUCGUAAAACUCUGUUGUUAGAGAAGCGGUAUCUAACCAGAAAGCCACGGCUAACUACGUGCCAGCAGCCGCGGUAAUUC
Molecule: ribosomal RNA, 403 nt
Filed under: uncultured bacterium
Lineage: Bacteria
Description: partial 16S ribosomal RNA
Rfam family: Bacterial small subunit ribosomal RNA
Source: RNAcentral